CCUACGGGAGGCAGCAGUGGGGAAUUUUGGACAAUGGGCGCAAGCCUGAUCCAGCAAUGCCGCGUGCAGGAUGAAGGCCUUCGGGUUGUAAACUGCUUUUGUACGGAGCGAAACGGUCUGCUUUAAUACAGUGGGCUAAUGACGGUACCGUAAGAAUAAGCACCGGCUAACUACGUGCCAGCAGCCGCGGUAAUACGUAGGGUGCGAGCGUUAAUCGGAAUUACUGGGCGUAAAGCGUGCGCAGGCGGUUAUAUAAGACAGAUGUGAAAUCCCCGGGCUCAACCUGGGACCUGCAUUUGUGACUGUAUAGCUAGAGUACGGUAGAGGGGGAUGGAAUUCCGCGUGUAGCAGUGAAAUGCGUAGAUAUGCGGAGGAACACCGAUGGCGAAGGCAAUCCCCUGGACCUGUACUGACGCUCAUGCACGAAAGCGUGGGGAGCAAACAGGAUUAGAUACCCUGGUAGUCCACGCCCUAAACGAUGUCAACUGGUUGUUGGGUCUUCACUGACUCAGUAACGAAGCUAACGCGUGAAGUUGACCGCCUGGGGAGUACGGCCGCAAGGUUGAAACGUUAAAGGAAUUGACGGNUGAGAGNGCGACGACGACGACGAGGGAGGAGG
Molecule: ribosomal RNA, 619 nt
Filed under: uncultured bacterium
Lineage: Bacteria
Description: bacterial SSU rRNA
Rfam family: Bacterial small subunit ribosomal RNA
Source: RNAcentral